AACGAACGCUGGCGGCAUGCCUAACACAUGCAAGUCGAACGAGACCUUCGGGUCUAGUGGCGCACGGGUGCGUAACGCGUGGGAACCUGCCCUUAGGUUCGGAAUAGCUCCCCGAAAGGGGUGCUAAUACCGGAUAAUGUCUUCGGACCAAAGAUUUAUCGCCUUUGGAUGGGCCCGCGUUGGAUUAGCUAGUUGGUAGGGUAAAAGCCUACCAAGGCGACGAUCCAUAGCUGGUCUGAGAGGAUGAUCAGCCACACUGGGACUGAGACACGGCCCAGACUCCUACGGGAGGCAGAAGUGGGGAAUAUUGGACAAUGGGCGAAAGCCUGAUCCAGCAAUGCCGCGUGAGUGAUGAAGGCCUUAGGGUUGUAAAGCUCUUUUACCCGGGAUGAUAAUGACAGUACCGGGAGAAUAAGCUCCGGCUAACUCCGUG
RNAcentral lists this ribosomal RNA (433 nucleotides) under uncultured bacterium. RNAcentral describes it as "partial 16S ribosomal RNA". It matches the Rfam family "Bacterial small subunit ribosomal RNA", at positions 29 to 507 of the family's 1533-position model. The record is from RNAcentral.